UACAGAGGGUGCAAGCGUUAAUCGGAAUUACUGGGCGUAAAGCGCGCGUAGGCGGAUAGAUAAGUUGGAUGUGAAAGCCCCGGGCUCAACCUGGGACGGUCAUUCAAAACUGUUUAUCUAGAGUGUGGCAGAGGGUAGUGGAAUUCCUAGUGUAGCGGUGAAAUGCGUAGAUAUUAGGAGGAACAUCAGUGGCGAAGGCGACUGCCUGGACCAACACUGACGCUGAGGUGCGAAAGCGUGGGUAGCGAACAGG
RNAcentral lists this ribosomal RNA (253 nucleotides) under uncultured bacterium. RNAcentral's name for it is "partial 16S ribosomal RNA". It matches the Rfam family "Bacterial small subunit ribosomal RNA", at positions 524 to 776 of the family's 1533-position model. The record is from RNAcentral.